CCAGCAGCCGCGGUAAUUCCAGCUCCGCAAGUGUAUUCCUAUACUGUUGCGUUUAAAUAGCUCGUAGUUGGAUCUGCGUGUUUAGCGCGCGGUGCUGCUUUUCGCAGUUACUGUGACGCGACACUGUACGCUGACUUCGUAUUCAUUGAGUAUGCUGUCAGCAAGUUUACUUUGAACAAAUCAGAGUGCUCAAAACGGGCGUUUCGCUCGGAUGUUCUUGCAUGGAAUAAUAGAAUAGGACCGCGCGUUCUAUUUUGUUGGUUUUCGGGACGCGGGUAAUGAUUAAGAGGGACAGACGGGGGCAUUUGUACUGCGACGUGAGAGGUGAAAUUCUUGGAUCGUCG
Molecule: ribosomal RNA, 344 nt
Filed under: uncultured eukaryote
Lineage: Eukaryota
Description: SSU rRNA
Rfam family: Eukaryotic small subunit ribosomal RNA
Source: RNAcentral